AUACCAUGCAGUCGAGGGGUAACAUAAAGUGCUUGCACUUUGAUGACGACCGGCGCACGGGUGAGUAACGCGUAUACAUCUGCCUCAUACUAGGGGAUAGCCCAGAGAAAUUUGGAUUAAUACCCUAUAGUAUCAUUUAGAGUCAUCUCUUUAUGAUUAAAGGUUACGGUAUGAGAUGAGUAUGCGUUCUAUUAGUUAGUAGGUGAGGUAACGGCUCACCUAGACCACGAUAGAUAGGGGCCCUGAGAGGGGGAUCCCCCACACUGGUACUGAGACACGGACCAGACUCCUACGGGAGGCAGCAGUGAGGAAUAUUAGACAAUGGGCGAAAGCCUGAUCUAGCCAUGCCGCGUGCAGGAUGACGGCCCUAUGGGUUGUAAACUGCUUUUAUACAGGAAGAAAAAACUCUACGUGUAGAGCCUUGACGGUACUGUAAGAAUAAGGAUCGGCUAACUCCGUGCCAGCCGCCGGGG
This 473-nucleotide ribosomal RNA is filed under the name Flavobacteriaceae bacterium enrichment culture clone PSHTC-016. RNAcentral's name for it is "bacterial SSU rRNA". It matches the Rfam family "Bacterial small subunit ribosomal RNA", at positions 51 to 520 of the family's 1533-position model. Lineage: Bacteria; Pseudomonadati; Bacteroidota; Flavobacteriia; Flavobacteriales; Flavobacteriaceae. The record is from RNAcentral.